UGGGGAAUUUUGGACAAUGGGGGAAACCCUGAUCCAGCCAUCCCGCGUGUGCGAUGAAGGCCUUCGGGUUGUAAAGCACUUUUGUCAGGAAAGAAACGUCAUGGGUUAAUACCCCGUGAAACUGACGGUACCUGCAGAAUAAGCACCGGCUAACUACGUGCCAGCAGCCGCGGUAAUACGUAGGGUGCAAGCGUUAAUCGGAAUUACUGGGCGUAAAGCGUGCGCAGGCGGUUCGGAAAGAAAGAUGUGAAAUCCCAGAGCUCAACUUUGGAACUGCAUUUUUAACUACCGGGCUAGAGUGUGUCAGAGGGAGGUGGAAUUCCGAGUGUAGCAGUGAAAUGCGUAGAUAUGCGGAGGAACACCGAUGGCGAAGGCAGCCUCCUGGGAUAACACUGACGCUCAGGCACGAAAGCGUGGGGAGCAAACAGG
RNAcentral lists this ribosomal RNA (429 nucleotides) under Acidobacteriota bacterium. RNAcentral describes it as "Acidobacteria bacterium partial 16S ribosomal RNA". It matches the Rfam family "Bacterial small subunit ribosomal RNA", at positions 355 to 776 of the family's 1533-position model. Lineage: Bacteria; Pseudomonadati; Acidobacteriota. The record is from RNAcentral.